UACAGAGGGUGCAAGCGUUGUUCGGAAUUACUGGGCGUAAAGCGCACGUAGGCGGCUUUGCAAGUUAGAGGUGAAAGCCCGGGGCUCAACUCCGGAAUUGCCUUUAAAACUGCAUCGCUAGAAUUGUGGAGAGGUAAGUGGAAUUCCGCGUGUAGAGGUGAAAUUCGUAGAUAUUCGGAAGAACACCAGUGGCGAAGGCGACUUACUGGACACAUAUUGACGCUGAGGUGCGAAAGCGUGGGGAGCAAACAGG
This 253-nucleotide ribosomal RNA is filed under the name uncultured bacterium. RNAcentral describes it as "partial 16S ribosomal RNA". It matches the Rfam family "Bacterial small subunit ribosomal RNA", at positions 524 to 776 of the family's 1533-position model. The record is from RNAcentral.